UGAAGCACAUCCUGUCCUACUGCAGCC
RNAcentral lists this non-coding RNA (27 nucleotides) under Homo sapiens (human). Lineage: Eukaryota; Metazoa; Chordata; Mammalia; Primates; Hominidae. The record is from RNAcentral.